RNAcentral lists this long non-coding RNA (507 nucleotides) under Homo sapiens (human). RNAcentral's name for it is "HSALNT0295239". Lineage: Eukaryota; Metazoa; Chordata; Mammalia; Primates; Hominidae. The record is from RNAcentral.
UUCGCCACGAAGGAUUUCCCGCGCUGUAGGAGCAAGUCCAGGACCACUGGCUGGACAUGAGAGUCCCAGCUUGUGCUGUUCUGUCAUUUUCUCUAACGUGGGAAGCUCAGCUGCGUAACUUGUAGUAACGAAGCGGAAGUUACAACGAAAAGACAAGUUUUCCUGUGCUUCGCAGGCCCCCCCUCCCCCCCCACCAAGGCCUGCAGUGGAUAGAGCCUAGCAGAUCCUGGACAAUACUAUCCUAAAAGCUACAUCUCUGACAGUGAUUUCCAGCGACUUUGUCAACACGGUCCGCCCCCAGCAAGUAUAAGAGGAAAAACAACAAAUGUCUUUACUGCCUUGUCUUUCCCCCUUGCCACUUGUCAUUAUUCAAGUUUUGUAAGUUCCUGAUUUCCAUUCAGUGCAGCUGCAAGGUUACCAGCUGUGCUUGCGUUGCAAGACCUGUCACAGUUUGAUUAACUGCCUUCUUUCUGCUUCUGUAAGCCCUCUUGCCUGCCCCGCGAGUUU